CCUACGGGAGGCAGCAGUGAGGAAUAUUGGUCAAUGUACGGGAGUCUGAACCAGCCAAGUCGCGUGAAGGAUGACUGCCCUAUGGGUUGUAAACUUCUUUUAUACAGGAAUAAAAGUUGUCACGUGUCCCUAUUUGCAUGUACCUUAUGAAUAAGGAUCGGCUAACUCCGUGCCAGCAGCCGCGGUAAUACGGAGGAUGCGAGCGUUAUCCGGAUUUAUUGGGUUUAAAGGGUGCGUAGACGGGUGGGUAAGUAAGAGGUGAAAGGUGGGGGCUCAACCCUAAAAUUGCAAUUGAUACUGGCAGACUGGAGUACGGAUGAAGCAGGCGGAAGUAGUGGUGUAGCGGUGAAAUGCUUAGAUAGCACGCAGAACCCCGAUUGCGAAGGCAGCUUGCUAAUCCGUAACUGACGCUGAUGCACGAAAGUGUGGGUAUCGAACAGGAUUAGAUACCCUAGUAGUC
RNAcentral lists this ribosomal RNA (460 nucleotides) under uncultured bacterium. Its description in RNAcentral is "partial 16S ribosomal RNA". It matches the Rfam family "Bacterial small subunit ribosomal RNA", at positions 338 to 795 of the family's 1533-position model. The record is from RNAcentral.